Long non-coding RNA from Ochotona curzoniae (black-lipped pika), 1277 nucleotides. RefSeq lists it as uncharacterized. The record is from RefSeq and is a predicted model, not a curated record. Lineage: Eukaryota; Metazoa; Chordata; Mammalia; Lagomorpha; Ochotonidae. The transcript is spliced from 3 exons.
GCGGCGGGAGGGGCUCGGCGGUGGCGCAGUCGGCGCUGCAGUGUGUGGCCGCGCCCUCUCCGCGCUCGGUUCCCUCGCAUCCUCCGCCGCGGGCUCGGACCUGCUCAGGUCUGCUCACCUCCCUCUGGCUCCAGGACCUCUCUCACCUCCAUCUUCCCAGCUCUGCCCAUAAUCCCUCUUCUAGACUGCAAGGACCACUCACUGUUCAGGAAUUUCCAGAAUCUAGUUUGACAUAAGAAAGAUACCUUCAGUUUGAGAAGAGCCCUUAUCGGAGCAACAUGAAUUCAGCUAAGAUUGAAGCCAGAACAAACAUCAAGUUCAUGAUGAAGCUUGGAUGGAAGAAUGGCGAAAUCAUUGAGGCUUUGCGGAAAGUUUACGGGGACAGUGCUCCCAAGAAGUCUGCAGUGUACAAAUGGAUAACGCGUUUCAAGGAGGGUCGGGAGGAUGUUGAGGAUGAAGCUCGCAGUGGCAGGCCAUCCACAUCGAUCUGUGAGGAAAAGAUUAACCUUGUCCGUGCCCUGAUCGAAGAGGAUCGGCCGCUAACAGCAAAAGCAAUCGCCAACACUAUAGACAUCUCAAUUGGCUCAGCUUAUAAAAUUCUAACCGAGAAGUUAAAGUUGAGCAAGCUCUCUGCUCGGUGGGUCCCUCGAUUGUUGGGCCCAGAUCAGCUGCACACAAGAGCAGAGCUGGCCAAGGAGAUUUUAAAUGAGUGGGAUCAAGAUCCGGAAGCGUUUCUUAGAAGAAUCGUGACAGGAGAUGAAACGGCUCUACCGGUACUAUCCUGAAGACAAAACACAAUCAAGGCAGCGGCUACAAGGAAUCAAAGUUAAAGUGUACCAGUCAAGAACCAAGUCACAAUGGCUUUUCUUUUUCUUUCUUUUAAUACUCAAGGCAUUUUACUUGUUGAUUUUGUGGAGGUCAAAUAGCGAUAUUUGUGAAUUGUGAGAGUAUUUUGAAGUUAUUGCCCAAAGCUUUAGUGGAGGAACAGCUGGGAGAGCCACAUCAAGAGCCUGUUGCUCCACACCAGUGCCCCUGCUUCUCCUGCUUAUCAAACAAGUGCAGUUUUGCUCGUCCUUUUUUUUUGUUUCCUAAUCUUAAGUAUUAAAAAGCCCAAUUUUUUUUUUUCCAGUUGAAAGUGUAGAGAAGUGUAUUCAUAUAGCUGCAUUCCUAGUACGCUCAGCUCUUUACGGUUUGUUUAGAUGAUUGCUGUUACCCCUUGCAUCAGUAUCUUAGUGUUGAUGGAGCUUAUGUUAAAAAAAUAAAACUUCUAUAUUUUA